RNAcentral lists this ribosomal RNA (212 nucleotides) under Clostridioides difficile. RNAcentral describes it as "partial 23S ribosomal RNA". It matches the Rfam family "Bacterial large subunit ribosomal RNA", at positions 2710 to 2925 of the family's 2925-position model. Lineage: Bacteria; Bacillati; Bacillota; Clostridia; Peptostreptococcales; Peptostreptococcaceae. The record is from RNAcentral.
UGGUGUACCAGUUGUCCUGCCAAGGGCAUGGCUGGGUAGCUAUGUACGGAAUGGAUAAGCGCUGAAAGCAUCUAAGCGCGAAGCCAACUUCAAGAUAAGAUUUCCCACCGCAAGGGUAAGACCCCAGAAAGACUAUCUGGUUGAUAGGUCGAAGGUGUAAGUGCAGCAAUGUAUUUAGCUUAUCGAUACUAAUAGGUCGAGGACUUGACCAA